AUGCCGGGAGCCCUUUGGGGCGUGGCCGUAUGUCCCUGCCGGACCCGGGGGUCCCUUUGGGGCGGGGCUCCGUCUGCGGUAAGAGGGGGAUCCUCUGGGGCGGGGCCCCCUCACCGCGGCGCGCCGCCCGCUUGGACGAGCCCCGGGGCUGUGAGAGCGCGCCGGGGUCCCGGGACGCGCGGAGGUCCCGGAGCUGCGUCGCGGUCCAGGGGUGCGCGGUGUUCCGGAGCAGUACCGGGACGGCGGGCGCGCGAGGACCCGGGGUUAUGCUGGGGACCCGGGGCGCGCAAGGGUCCCAGGGGUGCGCGGUGCUCCAGGGGGCGCGCGGUGGGACAAGUGCGGAGGCGGGCGCGGCGGGGGCGGGGGUCGGGUCUGGGGCGCCCGGUGGCCCCCGAGCGGGGCUCAGAGGGGCGGCGGGCGGCCGCGCGGCCGCUGCCCGGGCUCCGCCAUGCUGCUCCGCGGCCGGGAGGGAAGGAGAGAGGAGGGCGGGAGAGCGGCGCGGAGCCGGGCCGGGCGGGGGGCUGGGGCCGCCGGGGCGGGGGGAGGGGAGGACCCGGCGCGGGGGGCGGGGGGCCGGGGCCGCGCCGGGCCGGGCCGGGCCGGGCCGGGCCGCAGGGAGUCCGGGCGAGCUCUGCGCCCGGGCGCGGCGAGGCGGGGUCUGAUGGGCAUGGCAGGCGCUCGCUCGCUCCUCUCCUGUUCCCUCGCUCGCUACCUCAUACACACGCGCGGAGGGAGGCGAAGCCCGCAGCAGCCACUUCCCAACUUUCCAAACUUCCCAGCGCAACUUUUUCCUCUCCUCCCCUGCCCGCGCCUCCUCCUCGAUCUCCCUCCCUCCUCCCUUCGCCAGCUCCCCUCCGGGCCGCAGCUUCCGCGCGCGGCCACCAGAGGGCGCCAGGGCCGAUAUCCGAAAGGCCAACUUCAAUCCGCUCCGCUCUGGACUCCACUGGCCCGGGCAGAGGCAAACGUGGGGACAUGGACCAGACAAGUCCUGGAGCCGUGAACAGCGAGAGAGGAGAGGGACAGGAGUGGGUCGGCGCUCCCAGACUGGCUGGAAGGCAGCACUCAAAGGAAAUCCCCGGAAGCUGGUAUCUACAACUUUGUAUCAAACCCCUGUUCCCAAUGCUGGCACGUGAUUAG
This 1137-nucleotide long non-coding RNA is filed under the name Bos indicus x Bos taurus (hybrid cattle). RNAcentral describes it as "lncRNA (ENSBIXG00005006503.1)". Lineage: Eukaryota; Metazoa; Chordata; Mammalia; Artiodactyla; Bovidae. The record is from RNAcentral.